CGCGUGGGAAUAUGCCCUAUGGUACGGAACAACAGUUGGAAACGACUGCUAAUACCGUAUGUGCCCUUCGGGGGAAAGAUUUAUCGCCAUAGGAUUGGCCCGCGUUAGAUUAGCUAGUUGGUGAGGUAAGAGCUCACCAAGGCGACGAUCUAUAGCUGGUUUGAGAGGAUGAUCAGCCACACUGGGACUGAGACACGGCCCAGACUCCUACGGGAGGCAGCAGUGGGGAAUAUUGGACAAUGGGGGCAAUCCUGAUCCAGCCAUGCCGCGUGUGUGAAGAAGGCCUUAGGGUUGUAAAAC
RNAcentral lists this ribosomal RNA (300 nucleotides) under uncultured Hyphomicrobiaceae bacterium. RNAcentral describes it as "bacterial SSU rRNA". It matches the Rfam family "Bacterial small subunit ribosomal RNA", at positions 114 to 431 of the family's 1533-position model. Lineage: Bacteria; Pseudomonadati; Pseudomonadota; Alphaproteobacteria; Hyphomicrobiales; Hyphomicrobiaceae. The record is from RNAcentral.